GAUGAACGCUGGCGGCGUGCCUAAUACAUGCAAGUCGAGCGGACAGACGAGACGCUUGCUUGUCUGAUGUUAGCGGCGGGCGGGUGAGUCACACGUGUAUAACCUACCUAUAAUACUGGUAUCACUUCGGAAAACCGGCUCUAAUCCCGGAUAAUCUUUUGAACCGCAUUGUUCAAUAGUGAAAUACGGUCUUGCUGUCACUUCUAGAUGCAUCCGCGCUGCAUGAGCUGGUUGUUACGGUCACGGCUUUCCACGGCAACGAUGCAUAACCGACCGGAGAGGGUGAUAGGCCACCCGGGAACGGAGACGAGGUCCAGAGUACUAAGGGAGGCAGCAGAAGGGAAUGGGCCGCAAUGGGCGAAAGCAUGACGGAGCAAGGCCGCGUGAGUGAUGAAGGUCUUGGGAUCGUAAAACUGUGUUAUGAGGGAAGAACAUAUGUGUAAGGAAAUGUGCACAGCUUGACGGUACCGAAUCAGAAAGCAACGGCUAACUACGUG
This 497-nucleotide ribosomal RNA is filed under the name uncultured bacterium. Its description in RNAcentral is "partial 16S ribosomal RNA". It matches the Rfam family "Bacterial small subunit ribosomal RNA", at positions 28 to 507 of the family's 1533-position model. The record is from RNAcentral.